UUGGUUUCUAAUUCAUUGGUAACUAAGCAGUCUGUUGAGGCUUUAAAUGAUCAGCCAGACCCAAAUCUCAUCUUUCAGCAGUCUGAUGUGUUCAUGUGAAGGAACUCUCUGGAGUUAUGUCAGGAGACUUUCUUGCAUCUCAAAUCCGAGUGUGAAUAGGGAAGCAGUGACUGGAGAGGACUGAGAGCAUUCAGUGUGGCCUGCUGUGUCUCAGGAACAUCCCACAUUUCCUUGAUGUUUAAUUUAAAUAGCCCUUUCUUCUUAUACGGAUCUGGUUCCACAUGUUCCCGUGUUAAAGUCAACAAAAGGUUCUAAAUAAAUCCCUGGUGCAACUGUGAGAGCUUCACUGAACCUGGUGAAAACUGUGCUGAGCUACAGAGUGGUGACUUCAUUGGAAACUGCAGCAGGAGGAGGAAGCUUGGAUGGAAAAAGGUCUGGUUUUGACUUCUUCUCUUCGGGCUGAGUAUCCAGAGAUCCCAAGAACACUUAAUCCAUGUUAAUUUCUCAUGUGAGCUAUUUCAAGUGAAGGAAUCUAAACUUUGGAAAUGAAGUUUCAUAAUAUGUUGUGACUCUUCCUCUUUGUUGUUUUCCAAGUGUUUAGAGAGUGUGCUUACUGGGCUUUGCUCAGUGGAGCACACACAGCACUGGCUACAAUAGGUGUAAGGUGGCUCUCACCACCUUAGACAGAAAGCAGGUAUGUGUUUGUACACACAUUGUACAUGACAUUGCUGGGGCUAAGCAUAGAAACACGUGCUUGUUUUGUUUAGACAUGCUUUUUAUCCACAGGAUUUGUGGAAUUCUUUCCAGGUGUUGCUCCUCCCUGAGCUUACAGUUGUUGAAUUUCAAAUAUUGGCAAUCGAUGACAGAGCCUUCAAUUUCUUUUCAAGGGAACUUGCCUGUUGGAUUUGGCAGAGCAAUGGAGACAGCCUGAUGGCAGUGACUUCUGUUCUUGUCCCUGCAGAGGGGAAUGAGGACAUGGAUAAUCCUCUUUAAAAAGGACUGGAGCUCUCUCUGGAUUCCUCACACAGAAUCUCACUAUGAGUUUUCAUGCUGCAUCUGUAUUUCUCUGUAGCAAAAUAAAAAAAAUAAAAAAUAAUAUUAGUUGAAGUCUGCAUAACUGAAGUCGCUUAAAAAAAUAAACUCCCACAAAGUCACUGGUUGGGACUCAGGAACACGAGCAGGGAUUGAUCAAAGGCUUGGGAUCUUGUGUCCCAGGGUCCUCCUGUCUCUCCCUGCUGCAGAAACAUCAGAAACAGCAGGUUAAAUAUCUGUUAUUCUGCUGUAAUUCUAGCAGCUUGUAGGGCCUUCUGAAUACCCAUGCCUUCCUCUUGGGGGAAAUACAAUGGCCUUUGUUGUGUCUCUUUAUGAAAUACUCCAGCUUAUUCCAAUACAAUUUUUAUGAAAUAAAACUAGACUGCAGCCCAGUUUAAUACAUCCAUGUCAGCUCCUGCCUGCAGGAGCCCAAAUACAUGUUUUGCAUAUAGUUCACAUGCACAUAAAAUCACACAUGCACCUUGUAUGGAGACUUUGUGGAUAUCCAUAAUGUGCAUGUGUUUGCCUGUAUAAAAUACUUGAAAAAAUAAAUGAGAAUAUGGUUUUGUAUAUACUUAUUCUGUAAUACUGGUAGGUUCUAAGAAGGAUAAACCAAAU
Cyanistes caeruleus (blue tit) is the source of this 1650-nucleotide non-coding RNA. NCBI's taxonomy places the organism in Eukaryota, Metazoa, Chordata, Aves, Passeriformes, Paridae. The record is from RefSeq and is a predicted model, not a curated record.